Molecule: long non-coding RNA, 658 nt
Organism: Synchiropus splendidus (mandarinfish)
Lineage: Eukaryota; Metazoa; Chordata; Actinopteri; Syngnathiformes; Callionymidae
Exons: 3
Source: RefSeq, a predicted model, not a curated record
CUCAACUGCGCUUAGCAUUAGCACGCCAUGCGUGGCCGUAAAGACUCACGGUAAAUACUCACCACUUCCAUUGGUACCAAUCACACAGUGGAACUGCUCAAAAGGACCAAGAACUCGCUUUCCUCGCCAAGACUUGAAAUUUUCAACGACAAUCUGCCUAAGACAAUCAUGGAAGAGUGUCAGUAAGGAUGAUCGCGGACAUAUUCCAUGAUGUGCUUCAAAGCGAGCCAGGUCUCAGAGGCAGUGGGGAUGAUCUGUGUGGCCGUGACUGGAGUCAGCAUGCAGACUGUGAAAGGUGGACUUACAGAUGAUUCGACAGAUGCUUCCGACCUUGUAGCGGGUGCCAUAGAGGGAUGUGAGUUUCUGCACCGCAGCUCUGCCAACAGCAUCCUAAAGGGGACACGAGGCUGUAUGUAAAAUAAUAGUUCUGCAGCAUUCAGGCACAAACUAUUUGGUGCUAAUAGUGGUGUUUUUUUUAGAAACAUGCUUGCAAUAGUCAGCACAAUAAUGUAAUGUAUUUACACAAGUACACUGAGGCUACAAGUCUCUUUGACAACCAUGGCGAGACAGUUUCAUACCAGCUCCGCCAUAUCAGGCACGUGGUUGCAGCUGUAGCCGUAUGGAUACAUGAGCAGCUGAGAAUAGGCAUGGACAGAGA